This 71-nucleotide transfer RNA is filed under the name Candidatus Wolfebacteria bacterium. RNAcentral's name for it is "tRNA-Ala". It matches the Rfam family "tRNA". Rfam says of the family: Transfer RNA (tRNA) molecules are approximately 80 nucleotides in length. RNAcentral also lists the same sequence under 1 other name. The record is from RNAcentral. Lineage: Bacteria; Candidatus Wolfeibacteriota.
GGGCCUAUAGUUCAGUGGCAAAACACCUCAUUUGCAAUGAGGAGCCGCGAGUUCGAUUCUCGCUAGGUCCA